UACGAAGGGGGCUAGCGUUGUUCGGAAUUACUGGGCGUAAAGCGCACGUAGGCGGAUAUUUAAGUCAGGGGUGAAAUCCCGGGGCUCAACCCCGGAACGGCCUUUGAUACUGGAUGUCUUGAGUCCGGAAGAGGUGAGUGGAAUUGCGAGUGUAGAGGUGAAAUUCGUAGAUAUUCGCAGGAACACCAGUGGCGAAGGCGGCUCACUGGUCCGGAACUGACGCUGAGGUGCGAAAGCGUGGGGAGCAACAGG
This 252-nucleotide ribosomal RNA is filed under the name uncultured bacterium. Its description in RNAcentral is "partial 16S ribosomal RNA". It matches the Rfam family "Bacterial small subunit ribosomal RNA", at positions 524 to 775 of the family's 1533-position model. The record is from RNAcentral.